UUCCUCUCGAGGACUUGUGUCGAGACGCGGUUGGUCGUCAUGCGUCGCCGAACCAUGAUCGUGCCCUGGCCGGCCGUGAUCGCCUGUUCGAGGGUGCGAUCGAAGUCGCUGGUGGU
This 116-nucleotide ribosomal RNA is filed under the name uncultured eukaryote. RNAcentral describes it as "partial small subunit ribosomal RNA". The record is from RNAcentral.